This is a long non-coding RNA of Monodelphis domestica (gray short-tailed opossum), 771 nucleotides long. RefSeq lists it as uncharacterized. The record is from RefSeq and is a predicted model, not a curated record. Lineage: Eukaryota; Metazoa; Chordata; Mammalia; Didelphimorphia; Didelphidae.
GGCCAACGUCCAGCUUCCACUGCCUCUUGGAAUGUAGUAGGGCGCCCGAGAGGGCUCUUUCUGCUUCAUGGGGAGAUUGGGGACCAGAAACAGGGACUGGGAAGCUGCUGGAGACCCACACUCAGUCGAGUUGAAUUUCUCGGUGUCUCUCCUGCACAUAAAAUCUCUGGGAGGGAUCCAGAGGCGCAGACGCCCCCCGCCUCCCAUUCCGCGCGCGCGCAGCCAAGCGCGCGCGCACACACUCCUCGCUGUUCUCAAUUUCCAGCUGCUGUUCUCUUCUGCCAGAAAAGCCUCGCUUUUCCGGUCUCGAAGCAGUCCUUCCACAAGGGAAGCAAAAAUACAGCUCUGCUGACCAUAUGGCUCCUCUCCUGGGAUCCCGCUGCCCAAGGUGCUGUUCUUCCUUGAGGCAAACAAAUCUCAGAUUUCACUGCAGUCUCACCAGAAGAGUCUGUGACCUGGAUGGGGCUAGAGGCCUGGCCCGAGGAGCCAAUUCUUCUUUCAGAGGGCUUCGUUUACCAGGUCUACAAGGAUGGGCCAGGCUUUGGGGCUGUUAGGAUGAAGCUGAUGAUUAAAGUCCCUGGAAAUAUCAGUUUGCUUCUAAAGAAGAGUUCAAGAUUGACAAAGACUAUGGAUGUGUUCUGAAACAUGGAAGCACCAGGAAGCCCAGGCUCGAAGAAUGAAACUAACUUUUCUCACAGUAUUUAAAGCCUGGGUUUAUCUUCUAUUUUCUAAACAAUGCAACAGGCACACAAUAAAUUUUCUUUCCCCAAA